Molecule: ribosomal RNA, 252 nt
Filed under: uncultured bacterium
Lineage: Bacteria
Description: partial 16S ribosomal RNA
Rfam family: Bacterial small subunit ribosomal RNA
Source: RNAcentral
UACGGAGGGGGCUAGCGUUGUUCGGAAUUACUGGGCGUAAAGCGCGCGUAGGCGGACCUGCAAGUCGGGGGUGAAAGCCCGAGGCUCAACCCUGAACUGCCUUCGAUACUGCGGGUCUCGAGUCCGGGAGAGGUGAGUGGAAUUCCUAGUGUAGAGGUGAAAUUCGUAGAUAUUAGGAAGAACACCAGUGGCGAAGGCGGCUCACUGGCCCGGUACUGACGCUGAGGCGCGAAAGCGUGGGGAGCAAACAGG